This 1238-nucleotide long non-coding RNA is filed under the name Chrysemys picta bellii (western painted turtle). Its description in RNAcentral is "lncRNA (ENSCPBG00000010255.1)". Lineage: Eukaryota; Metazoa; Chordata; Testudines; Emydidae. The record is from RNAcentral.
GUUGUGGAUUGGAUCUGAUUGUGGUGGCACCCUUUGCAAGUGCACAAAGGGGUGUGGGAUGAGUACUCAUUGCACCUUUCUUCAUGUGUUUUUGCACACCCACGCAAUGCUGGCCUAAAUACAGUUCAUAUUAAAAUUCAUAAAUCUGGUGUUGCUUUGAAUUAGUACAGCAGCAUGCCUCCUGGCAGACAUGUGGUGUGUUAACAAGCUGAAGGAAUCAGAAGGAAUCAGCUUUCCCAAAACUGCAGGUAGAGCAUUUCUAUCCUCCUAGUACAGAAAUGAAACAUUCUUCAUGCAAACCAACAUAUGCUUUAUUACUUCUGUCACUUAUGCUAUAUAUUCUACUCCUUGAAGAAAGGAGCUAUAAGAAAUCUUAAUGUUCGAAAGGAAUGAGUCCACGUGGUUUGGGAACAAUCCAACAGGACUCUAAAGAACAUGGGAUGGUUAAUGGGAGUGUUUUGGGCUAUACUGACACUACAUGAGCAGUGAUUUGAGAGACCAAUGUCAUAUAUUCUGAUUAUUCGAGAGGACAAUUGUAGUCUGUGGGAACAAAAAAAAUGGAAGAAGAAGAAACAACUAAACCUACAACCAUACUCCACAGUGCUUUGAUUUUUAAUUUUUUCCUCAUUUAUAAGUAUUUCGCAACGCCGUGUCACGUUUCACCUACCAGACGGCUCCCAGGAAAGCUGCAGUGACAGUGGGCUUGGAGACCAUGAACCCAGCAGCAGUGCUAGCACAUCGCAUCCUCUGCCCCUUGGUUUCCCCCAAGAGGAGUACUAUGAACAGGCUUCGCCCAACAGUCGGACAGAAGGAGAUGGCAAUUCGGACCCGGAGUCCAAGACACAGACUUUUGAAAGUGAUCAAGAUGGAAGUUCUACUUGGCUUUAACAGAACCAUGAAGACUUACUGUUUAUCCCUCCUGCCCUUGUACCAGGUGUGUUUUUAAUUAAGGAUUUUUAAAAAUUAUUGUACUCACCUGUAUUUUGCAAGAUCUCCCCCUUAAGUGAAAUAUAGCGUCAUUGUUCCAUGGAGUGUUUUAUAAAUUAACAUAUAGGCAAGCCCCUUUUAGAUGCAACUCCAGAGCCACACAUUGCAGAGCAGAAAGUGAGCAUUCUUCUUCAAGAGAUGUCCCUGUGGGUGCUCCACUCCAGGUGCUGGUGCGUCCCUGCGCCCUUGCUCGGAGAUUUUUGCAGCAGUACUUGUACCGGCCACGCAUGCGCAGAGGCUGCCCCCCCACU